AGUGAACGCUGGCGGUAGGCCUAACACAUGCAAGUCGAACGGCAGCACAGUAAGAGCUUGCUCUUACGGGUGGCGAGUGGCGGACGGGUGAGGAAUACAUCGGAAUCUACUUUUUCGUGGGGGAUAACGUAGGGAAACUUACGCUAAUACCGCAUACGACCUACGGGUGAAAGCAGGGGAUCUUCGGACCUUGCGCGAUUGAAUGAGCCGAUGUCGGAUUAGCUAGUUGGCGGGGUAAAGGCCCACCAAGGCAACGAUCCGAAGCUGGUCUGAGAGGAUGAUAGGCCCACUUGGACCUGAGCACCGGCCCAGAUCCCUACGGGAGCAAGAAGUGGGGAAAAUUGACCAAUGGGCGAAAGCCUGACCAAGCAAUCCCGGGUGGUGGAGGAAGGCCUUCGGUUGUUAAACCCCUUUUGUUGGGAAAGAAAAGCAGCAGGUUAAUACCCCGCUGUUCUGACGGUACCCAAAGAAUAAGCACCGGCUAACUUCGUG
This 492-nucleotide ribosomal RNA is filed under the name uncultured bacterium. RNAcentral describes it as "partial 16S ribosomal RNA". It matches the Rfam family "Bacterial small subunit ribosomal RNA", at positions 29 to 507 of the family's 1533-position model. The record is from RNAcentral.